AUGAACGCUGGCGGCGUGCCUAAUACCUGCCAGUCGAGCGAACAGACGAGGAGCUUGCUCCUCUGACGUUAGCGGCGGACGGGUGAGUAACACGUGGAUAACCUACCUAUAAGACUGGGAUAACUUCGGGAAACCGGAGCUAAUACCGGAUAAUAUAUUGAACCGCAUGGUUCAAUAGUGAAAGACGGUUUUGCUGUCACUUAUAGAUGGAUCCGCGCCGCAUUAGCUAGUUGGUAAGGUAACGGCUUACCAAGGCAACGAUGCGUAGCCGACCUGAGAGGGUGAUCGGCCACACUGGAACUGAGACACGGUCCAGACUCCUACGGGAGGCAGCAGUAGGGAAUCUUCCGCAAUGGGCGAAAGCCUGACGGAGCAACGCCGCGUGAGUGAUGAAGGUCUUCGGAUCGUAAAACUCUGUUAUUAGGGAAGAACAAAUGUGUAAGUAACUAUGCACGUCUUGACGGUACCUAAUCAGAAAGCCACGGCUAACUACGUG
Molecule: ribosomal RNA, 496 nt
Filed under: uncultured bacterium
Lineage: Bacteria
Description: partial 16S ribosomal RNA
Rfam family: Bacterial small subunit ribosomal RNA
Source: RNAcentral